Molecule: ribosomal RNA, 253 nt
Filed under: uncultured bacterium
Lineage: Bacteria
Description: partial 16S ribosomal RNA
Rfam family: Bacterial small subunit ribosomal RNA
Source: RNAcentral
UACGUAGGGGACAAGCGUUGUCCGGAUUUACUGGGCGUAAAGAGCGCGCAGGCGGUCGUUCAAGUCGAGUGUGAAAGCCCCCGGCUCAACUGGGGAGGGGCAUUCGAUACUGAUCGACUCGAAGGCAGGAGAGGGUAGUGGAAUUCCCGGUGUAGUGGUGAAAUGCGUAGAUAUCGGGAGGAACACCAGUGGCGAAGGCGACUACCUGGCCUGUUCUUGACGCUGAGGCGCGAAAGCUAGGGUAGCAAACGGG